GACGAACGCUGGCGGCGUGCUUAACACAUGCAAGUCGAGCGGUAAGGCCUUUUCGGAGGUACACGAGCGGCGAACGGGUGAGUAACACGUGAGUGAUCUGCCCUCAACUUCGGGAUAAGCUUCGGAAACGGGGUCUAAUACCGGAUAUGACUUCCUGCUUCAUGGUGGGUGGUUGAAAGGUUUUUCUGGUUGGGGAUGGGCUCGCGGCCUAUCAGCUUGUUGGUGGGGUAAUGGCCUACCAAGGCGACGACGGGUAGCCGGCCUGAGAGGGCGACCGGCCACACUGGGACUGAGGCACGGCCCAGACUCCUACGGGAGGCAGCAGUGGGGAAUCUUGCGCAAUGGGGCGAAAGCCUGACGCAGCGACGCCGCGUGAGGGAUGAC
This 384-nucleotide ribosomal RNA is filed under the name uncultured bacterium. Its description in RNAcentral is "bacterial SSU rRNA". It matches the Rfam family "Bacterial small subunit ribosomal RNA", at positions 28 to 412 of the family's 1533-position model. The record is from RNAcentral.